Molecule: long non-coding RNA, 1201 nt
Organism: Triplophysa rosa
Lineage: Eukaryota; Metazoa; Chordata; Actinopteri; Cypriniformes; Nemacheilidae
Exons: 4
Source: RefSeq, a predicted model, not a curated record
AUAAUAAGAACAAAUAACUGGCCAUUGUGGCCAAAGCGCUCCGUUUGACUUUUCCGAGAUCUUCUACUCUUCCCUGUGGACGACCUCUGACCUACUUUCUGUACGAUCUGAAUUUCUGCGUUUUGAAUUUUAGAAAAUUGAAUUUGAUGUUCCGAAUUUCUUCUUCAUCUUGAAAACGUGAGGCUGUAUUAAAAAAAAACUGGAUAUUUGCAAUCUAAGAAUUCAGAGCAAAAAAUAUGUUGUUUGAAAAUGCAUGCCUAUAAAACUCUGCCUUAAAAAAAAGCAAUUGUGUUAAAUUUCAAAUGUUCAACAUUCAAGUAAAAAAAAUUCAAAUUCGAAAUCAAAAUCUAAUUCAAAACUAUUUUAACUCCCAUAUAAUAUUCAGUUUUUUUAAAAAACACUUGUCAAUAAUUCAGAUUUACGAAAUUCAAAUUCAGAUUGUUUUGUCAUAUUUCUGGCUCCAUAGUGGUGUGGCCGUCUCUAGCCCGCCUUGAAAGCGAGAAGGGGGAGUCUGCAGACCUGGAGCAGGCAGUUUUACGCCCCAAGCAGUUUUGCCCCCCAGGCAGUUUUACACCCCUGUUUUUACUUAUUUGUCCAGUAGGGGGCACUGUACAUUAAGAACCACCAGAACAGACCUAAGAACAGAUAACUUCAUCGUCCAUCACGAGUUUAUGGUAAAUAAACGUUUUCAGGCAAUCGUCCAACAUGUAUAGUUUUAAAUGAUUCAUUGAUAUCGAUAUGAAUUCAUUUCAACAUCUAAAAAGAUAUGUACGUCCAUCAUCAGUGGCCAAAAGAAAUCAAAGUGGCUUGACAUAUUUUGCAAUCCUUCUGCCAAAACCAUGCUUGUGCCUGUGUACGUUGACAAUCAGGACCAAACUGAUGACUUACUUUCACCUCACUUCAUUUCUGGACAGGACACCCACACAGACUCACAGUGACACGAUCAAGUUUAUUAUGGAUGUCCUUUUUCCAGAGUCCAUCAUCUGUUCCCUUGCUGGUUUGUAAAAUCUCACCAUGCUGGAGGCUGAGGAGAAAUUUCUACAAGUCAUUGACAUACAAGUGAGCGGGAGCAGUUUGACAGGAGGAUUAAGAACAUUUUGAAGUAGAGUGAGUCAUUAUCCGCAUAGGAGUCAUUAUCGAGAGCCAUCCUAUAAUGAUCAUCAAUCCUGUUUUUGAUAAUGGUCUUAAUAAAUAAUGUUGU